ACGGCGAGUGAAGAGGGAAAAGCUCAAGUUUGGAAGCUUCGUGGCAUAGCUACGACGCGUUGUAAACUGAAGUUUUUUGGGUGAUUGGGCGACCGGAUAAAUAAGUCCUUUGGAAAGGGGCAACAUAGAGGGUGACAUUCCCGUCUUUGGUCCGAGUCAGUGCAGUCGCUGCCCAGGAAACGACGAGUCAGGUUGUUUGGGAAUGCAGCCUAAAAUGGGAGGUAAAUCUCUCCUAAAGCUAAAUACUGGCGUAAGACCGAUAGCGAACAAGUACCGUGAGGGAAAGAUGAAAAGGACUUUGAAAAGAGGGUCAAAUAGUACGUGAAAUUGUUGAAAGGGAACCGUAUGAAAGUAGACUGGCUUGGUGAUGAUCAAUGUGUGUUUCGGCACGCAUGCACUCAUUGCCUUUGCCAGCCAGCGGCAGUUUUUGCUAAAGGAAGAAAAUCAGGGGAAUGUAGCUUCGAUUUCGGUUGAAGUGUUAUAGCUCCUGGUAAAAUACUUUGGCAGAGACUGAGGCUAGCAGCGGAUCUUUGGGAACUUUGCGCGCUUGUCGUCCAAUGGUUAAGUUUUCUUCGGAUGCUUGGUCAUUGGGUGGCAACUCGUGUGAUGCUUCACCCUUCCGCUUAGGUCGCU
Molecule: ribosomal RNA, 633 nt
Filed under: Gongronella butleri
Lineage: Eukaryota; Fungi; Mucoromycota; Mucoromycetes; Mucorales; Cunninghamellaceae
Description: LSU rRNA
Rfam family: Eukaryotic large subunit ribosomal RNA
Source: RNAcentral